RNAcentral lists this non-coding RNA (29 nucleotides) under Mus musculus (house mouse). Lineage: Eukaryota; Metazoa; Chordata; Mammalia; Rodentia; Muridae. The record is from RNAcentral.
UAUGCGUUUCCCAAAGUAUAUCUAAGUCC